This 62-nucleotide microRNA precursor is filed under the name Scyliorhinus torazame (cloudy catshark). RNAcentral's name for it is "Sto-Mir-205-P1_pre stem-loop". The record is from RNAcentral. Lineage: Eukaryota; Metazoa; Chordata; Chondrichthyes; Carcharhiniformes; Scyliorhinidae.
UCCUUCAUUCCACCGGAGUCUGUGUCCAUCUCUGAUCCAGAUUCCCAGUGAGAUGAAGCGCA